UACGUAGGGUGCGAGCGUUAAUCGGAAUUACUGGGCGUAAAGCGUGCGUAGGUGGUUCGUUGUGUCUGUGGUGAAAGCCCCGAGCUUAACUUGGGAAUUGCGCUUGUGACUGGCGUGCUGGAGUGUGGCAGAGGGAGGUGGAAUUCCACGUGUAGCAGUGAAAUGCGUAGAGAUGUGGAGGAACACCGAUGGCGAAGGCAGCCUCCUGGGCCAGCACUGACGCUCAUGCACGAAAGCGUGGGGAGCAAACAGG
This 253-nucleotide ribosomal RNA is filed under the name uncultured bacterium. RNAcentral describes it as "partial 16S ribosomal RNA". It matches the Rfam family "Bacterial small subunit ribosomal RNA", at positions 524 to 776 of the family's 1533-position model. The record is from RNAcentral.